RNAcentral lists this ribosomal RNA (537 nucleotides) under Triticum aestivum (bread wheat). Its description in RNAcentral is "partial small subunit ribosomal RNA". Lineage: Eukaryota; Viridiplantae; Streptophyta; Magnoliopsida; Poales; Poaceae. The record is from RNAcentral.
AUGAAGUUCGCUGAUCUGAACCGGACUAAAAGGGUGUUUCAGGUUGGGGAACAUGUUUUACUGAAACUGCAACCAUAUACACAGACAUCUGUGGCAAGCCGCCCAUGCCCGAAGCUUGCUUUCAAGUUCUUCAGCCCUUUCUCAGUCCUCGACAGAAUCGGACCAUCGGCGUACAAGUUGGAGCUCCCUGCCGACAGCAAGAUUCACCCAGUGUUUCACGUCUCGCAGUUGAAACCUUUCACACCUAACUACAGCCCCGUGUUCUCUGAACUUCCGGCCACCACCGAUCUGUCGACUCAAGAGACUUCUCCAGUGGCAAUCUUAGACAAAAGAAUGAUGAAAAGGGGCAACACACCGGUGAUCCAAUUUCAAGUUGCUUGGGAUGCGACUCCGCAGUCCAUCACUUGGGAGGACUAUGACGUGCUUCGUCGGCGCUAUCUACAAGCUUGCAUCUGGGACGAGGAACCCAUGGAAGAGGGAGACUGUUCUCAAGGAGGGGAGAAUGUCACCACGGUAGUGCCAGACACCACCGCGUGA